CCUACGGGAGGCAGCAGUGGGGAAUAUUGGACAAUGGGGGGAACCCUGAUCCAGCCAUGCCGCGUGUGUGAAGAAGGCCCUCGGGUUGUAAAGCACUUUCAGUGAGGAAGAACGCCUGGUGGUUAAUACCCAUCAGGAAAGACAUCACUCACAGAAGAAGCACCGGCUAACUCCGUGCCAGCAGCCGCGGUAAUACGGAGGGUGCGAGCGUUAACCGGAAUUACUGGGCGUAAAGCGCGCGUAGGUGGCUUGAUAAGCCGGUUGUGAAAGCCCCGGGCUCAACCUGGGAACGGCAUCCGGAACUGUCAAGCUAGAGUGCAGGAGAGGAAGGUAGAAUUCCCGGUGUAGCGGUGAAAUGCGUAGAGAUCGGGAGGAAUACCAGUGGCGAAGGCGGCCUUCUGGACUGACACUGACACUGAGGUGCGAAAGCGUGGGUAGCAAACAGGAUUAGAUACCCUUGUAGUC
RNAcentral lists this ribosomal RNA (465 nucleotides) under Vreelandella stevensii. RNAcentral's name for it is "partial 16S ribosomal RNA". It matches the Rfam family "Bacterial small subunit ribosomal RNA", at positions 338 to 795 of the family's 1533-position model. The record is from RNAcentral. Lineage: Bacteria; Pseudomonadati; Pseudomonadota; Gammaproteobacteria; Oceanospirillales; Halomonadaceae.